UAAGGAAUAUUGGUCAAUGCCCGGAAGGGUGAACCAGCCAUCCCGCGUGAAGGAUGAAGGGGCUCUGCCUUGUAAACUUCUUUUGAAUGGGACGAAAAAGCCUCACUUGUGAGGAACUGACGGUACCAUUAGAAUAAGCACCGGCUAACUCCGUGCCAGCAGCCGCGGUAAUACGGAGGGUGCGAGCGUUAUCCGGAAUCACUGGGUUUAAAGGGUGCGUAGGCGGCUGUAUAAGUCAGUGGUGAAAGGCUGUGGCUUAACCAUGGGAUUGCCAUUGAUACUGUACGGCUUGAAUUAGGAUGAGGUUGGCGGAAUGUGACAUGUAGCGGUGAAAUGCUUAGAUAUGUCAUGGAACAUCGAUUGCGAAGGCAGCUGACUGGGCCUUAAUUGACGCUGAGGCACGAAAGCGUGGGGAGCGAACAGGAUUAGAUACCCUUGUAGUCCCUGAGCGGGCUGGCAAGGCGCAU
Molecule: ribosomal RNA, 467 nt
Filed under: uncultured bacterium
Lineage: Bacteria
Description: bacterial SSU rRNA
Rfam family: Bacterial small subunit ribosomal RNA
Source: RNAcentral